Molecule: non-coding RNA, 69 nt
Organism: Rattus norvegicus (Norway rat)
Lineage: Eukaryota; Metazoa; Chordata; Mammalia; Rodentia; Muridae
Source: Rfam
GGGGAUUUAGCUCAGUGGUAGAGCGCUUGUCUAGCAAUCACAAGGCCCUGGGUUCGGUCCCCAGCUCCG